Small nuclear RNA from Tupaia belangeri (northern tree shrew), 104 nucleotides. NCBI's taxonomy places the organism in Eukaryota, Metazoa, Chordata, Mammalia, Scandentia, Tupaiidae. The record is from Ensembl.
GUGCUCAUUUCAGCACCAUAUAUACUAAAAUUGGAACCAUACAGAGAUCAGCAUGGCCCCUGUGCAAGGAUGACACACAAAUUCGUGAAGCCUCCCGUAUUUUU